CCCUCUACCCGCCGCGCCUCUGUCCCCCCAGGUCCCGCCCCCGCUCGGGUCGUCGGAGCAGAGUCCUCACUUUUCCGCAACCCCAGGCUUCGGCGCUUAGACUGGAAAGCGCGAGCCCUGAAGCGGUGAAAGGAACGGGUCUCCUAGCAUCUUCCAGAACUUACCACAGAGAAUUCCCAUCUUCAUUCCUUGGAGACUUGAGGUUUAACAAAAUCAGAGAAAUUCUCAGAAACACCUUCAAGAAACUCAAGAAUUUGAACACUCUGUACCUCUACAAGGAUGGAAUUCGUAUACGAGAUAAGCAGACAUUUAAAGGACUCAUCCUUGGAACAGCUCUCUCCCCGUGUUUACUCAACUGCUUAGGGACACAAGUGUAGAAGUUGGAAAGAAUAUGAACAUUUCAUGUCAGGCUCGGGGAGAACCAUAGCCCAUACUUACAUGGAAUAAGGUGUGGCCUUUUUACUAAGUGACGAUAUUGAAGCGACAUUAUUCCAUGAGAUUUCAGUCUAGUUUCCUGAGGUCGUUUGGACUGAGCUUCAUCUUCUCUCCUCCUUUUUACGGCCCGUUAGGCUGACAGGAUGACGGAGUUGCACGGACCCCUGUUGGAGCAUGAGGUAAGUUGAGGAUGCUGUUUGCGCUGAGGUUGGUAGAACAGAGGUUUGGAGACUGCUUCUCUGAUGAUAGUCACGA
Non-coding RNA from Delphinapterus leucas (beluga whale), 690 nucleotides. The record is from RefSeq and is a predicted model, not a curated record. Lineage: Eukaryota; Metazoa; Chordata; Mammalia; Artiodactyla; Monodontidae.